This 301-nucleotide ribosomal RNA is filed under the name uncultured bacterium. RNAcentral's name for it is "partial 16S ribosomal RNA". It matches the Rfam family "Bacterial small subunit ribosomal RNA", at positions 509 to 808 of the family's 1533-position model. The record is from RNAcentral.
CAGCCGCCGCGGGAAUACGAAGGGUGCAAGCGUUACUCGGAAUUACUGGGCGUAAAGCGUGCGUAGGUGUGGUUUAAGUCCGUUGUGAAAGCCCUGGGCUCAACCUGGGAAUUGCAGUGGAUACUGGGUCACUAGAGUGUGGUAGAGGAUAGUGGAAUUUCCGGUGUAGCAGUGAAAUGCGUAGAGAUCGGAAGGAACAUCUGUGGCGAAGGCGACUAUCUGGGCCAACACUGACACUGAGGCACGAAAGCGUGGGGAGCAAACAGGAUUAGAUACCCCCGUAGUCCCUGUCUCUUAUACA